RNAcentral lists this ribosomal RNA (105 nucleotides) under Bacilli bacterium. Lineage: Bacteria; Bacillati; Bacillota; Bacilli. The record is from RNAcentral.
AGUUGUGUUGAUAGCUCAGUGGACACACCCAAACCCAUCCCGAACUUGGAAGUUAAGCACUGAAACGCCGAAAAUAGUGUAUGCGAAGAUAGGAAAAUGCAACUA